Molecule: small RNA, 700 nt
Filed under: Pongo abelii (Sumatran orangutan)
Lineage: Eukaryota; Metazoa; Chordata; Mammalia; Primates; Hominidae
Description: retained intron
Source: RNAcentral
CAAAAACCGAGGAGAAUCCGAGACCCUCCUGUCUCACACAGGCCACUGGGGACUCCCGCCCUGCCCACCCCCAGGGGCUGCCUGGCCUUCUGGCCACAUCCUGGUCCAGAGGGCCUGGUGGCACCUGGGCAGAGCAGCAGGUGGGCUCAGCCUGCCCUGUGACUCCUCCCCAAAGGCGACUCGGACGACGCGGCCCCCUCGGGCUCUGGCGCGCUCUCCUCCACCCCGCCGUCCACAUCUCCUGCGGCCAAGGAGGCCUCACCCACCCCGCCCUCCUCCCCGUCGGUGAGCGGAGGCCUGUCCUCCCCCAGGUCAGCAGGCUGCCCAGCAGCGGCGAGGCUGCGGCCACGCCCACCAUGUCCAUGACCGUGGUCACCAAGGAGAAGAACAAGAAGGUGAUGUUUCUGCCCAAGAAAGCGAAGGACAAGGACGUGGAGUCUAAGAGCCAGUGCAUUGAGGGCAUCAGCCGGCUCAUCUGCACUGCCAGGCAGCAGCAGAACAUGCUGCGGGUCCUCAUCGACGGUGUGGAGUGCAGCGACGUCAAGUUCUUCCAGCUGGCCGCGCAGUGGUCCUCGCACGUGAAGCACUUCCCCAUCUGCAUCUUCGGACACUCCAAGGCCACCUUCUAGCCCCACCCACCAAGGGGCCCACCUCCUGCCCCAUGCUGUGAGGGGCCCAGCUGCAUUUUUGUUAACAUUUC